Cyprinus carpio (common carp) is the source of this 429-nucleotide long non-coding RNA. The record is from Ensembl. NCBI's taxonomy places the organism in Eukaryota, Metazoa, Chordata, Actinopteri, Cypriniformes, Cyprinidae.
ACCCAGAUGGGGAAAGGUCACAGUAAAUAGAUGAGCCUGACUCCUGUCCUGUGUGUAGAGAAGGACUGCAGAGUCUCUCCAGCUUAUGCAAGUCUAUUCCCUGCGUGUGCUUGAGGAGAGAGAUGGAGGUUAUUGUCCAGCCAUGCAGUGGACCAUGUUUAGUGAAGGGCCUGAACCAGAAGAGAACCAGAUUGAUUGCUCUGAUUUUGUCCCACUGCAAUCUCAUGGGCGGAAAGCUGUUUGGACUCGCAUUCUGACGGCACCUAUUCACUGCAGAGGAUCCAUUGGUGAACAAGUGAUGUAAUGGUAAAUGUUCUGAUGAAGAAACAAACUCAUCUACAUCUUGGACUGCCUGAGGGUGAGUACAUUUUCAGCUGUUUCAUUUUGGGUGGAGAAUUCCUUAAAUAAAUUUGCACAAAUUUGACUGCA